This 203-nucleotide unclassified non-coding RNA is filed under the name Hevea brasiliensis (rubber tree). The record is from RNAcentral. Lineage: Eukaryota; Viridiplantae; Streptophyta; Magnoliopsida; Malpighiales; Euphorbiaceae.
GUUAGAAUUGCUCCCCAUGUCAUGAUGACCUGGAUAUUUCUGAACCAGAUCCAAAAGCUGGAGAAAUCUGUGGGAUUGUAGUCUUCAACAGAGGAGAUUUUCAGUUGACUAAAGCUAUUAAAUAAUGAUACAUUGCCUGUGUUGUAGUUUAUGGUGGUUGUUCACACCCUCUCACAUCCGACCAAUUUGUUUUGAAAUUUUUA